This 639-nucleotide ribosomal RNA is filed under the name uncultured bacterium. RNAcentral describes it as "bacterial SSU rRNA". It matches the Rfam family "Bacterial small subunit ribosomal RNA", at positions 232 to 885 of the family's 1533-position model. The record is from RNAcentral.
CGCGGCCUAUCAGCUUGUUGGUGAGGUAACGGCUCACCAAGGCAUCGACGGGUAGCUGGUCUGAGAGGACGAUCAGCCACACUGGGACUGAGACACGGCCCAGACUCCUGCGGGAGGCAGUAGUGGGGAAUCUUGCGCAAUGGGCGAAAGCCUGACGCAGCAACGCCGCGUGGGGGAUGAAGGCUCUCGGGUUGUAAACCCCUUUCAGCAGGGACGAAAAUGACGGUACCUGCAGAAGAAGCUCCGGCCAACUACGUGCCAGCAGCCGCGGUAAUACGUAGGGGGCGAGCGUUGUCCGGAUUUAUUGGGCGUAAAGAGCUCGUAGGCGGCUCAGUAAGUCGACCGUGAAAUUCCAGGGCUCAACCCUGGAACGCCGGUCGAUACUGCUGUGGCUAGAGUACGGUAGGGGAGUGUAGAAUUCCUGGUGUAGCGGUGAAAUGCGCAGAUAUCAGGAGGAAUACCGAUAGCGAAGGCAGCACUCUGGGCCGGUACUGACGCUGAGGAGCGAAAGCGUGGGGAGCAAACAGGAUUAGAUACCCUGGUAGUCCACGCCGUAAACGUUGGGCACUAGGUGUGGGUUCCAUCCAACGGGAUCCGUGCCGUAGCUAACGCAUUAAGUGCCCCGCCUGGGGAGUACGG